This 295-nucleotide long non-coding RNA is filed under the name Cotesia glomerata. RNAcentral's name for it is "uncharacterized LOC123266545, transcript variant X1". The record is from RNAcentral. Lineage: Eukaryota; Metazoa; Arthropoda; Insecta; Hymenoptera; Braconidae.
AAGCUGAGAUCGUCGAUGUCGAGGAUCCUAAGCCCAUAGAGCCGAGUAAUACUGCCGAAUCUUCUGCUCAUGCUGAUGCAAGUUCUGGCGCUUCUAUCAACACAGACGACGAAGAUGAUUCAGAUACAGGUCCCGAGUGUACUGAAGGUAACAAAAACAUUCCAAAUGGAAAGUGUGGAUUCAUUGCAUGCUCUAUGAUUACACCAAAUAAAUAUAGAGAAGUUUCCUUUGAUUGUCCUCAUAAUACCUGCUACGAUAAAGAAUCGGACAGUUGUGAGUGGGAAAAAAAAUAAUU